CAUGACUAAAUAAAGCGACCUUGAACCUUGAACCACUUUCUGUUAGCAUUUUACAGUGCUCCUAAAAAGUGAACCUAACUGUUUUUGUUUCAUUUUAGCACAAUUAAUAAUGAGUGUUAAUUCUUCAAUACAGAUGGAACAGUUUACCAAUUCAGCAAUAUAUGACAACAUCUCUCUAGGUGAGUGGAACCCAGAUUACUUAUCAUGCAUCAAAGACUACAACUUCCUUAUUCUGAUUCUGUCCAUCAGCUAUGGUGUGAUUUUUCCAGCAAGCCUUCUAGGGAAUGGCUAUGUGAUAGUCCAUUUCUUCCUACACAGAAAGUCUUCGUCAACAUCCAAGAAGCUGAUGGCCAACUUGGCAAUGCUGGACUUUUUGCUGGCCUUGAGCCUUCCCCUUGUCAUUGUGUAUCACAGUAAAGGAAACAACUGGCUCUUUGGAAACUUCUUCUGUUAUGUGUCAUCUUGCCUCUUUUAUGGCAACUUGUAUGGCAGCAAUUUAUUCUUCAUAACCAUCUGCUUGGAGAGAUACACAGCUGUCUGCCACCCCUUCAUAUAUCAGAGAGUAAAGACUCCAGCUAUUUGCAGAACCAUUUGUUGCUCCAUUUGGCUGAUCAUCAUUAUGGGAAUUAUCUUUAUUUGCACAAAGGUUCAGAUGGUUACUAGACAUCCUAAUGGGACCAUAACUUGUGGAGAUGCAUUUUCUGAAGAGGCAUGGAGUGACCUGUUGACACCCCUCAUUAUUAUAUUAUCUGUCAUGAGUUUCUUUGUCCCCUAUGUCUUUGUAUUAUCCUGCUAUUCCCUAAUUGUCCUAAAACUAAGAUAUUUAGACAGCAACAUCCGGUCACAAGUGCCAAAGAAAAAAUGCAUGCAGGCCAUCCUGUCCGUCUUUGUGGUGAUGACAAUCUGCUACUUGCCCUUUCACACUUUUCAGAUGGUAAACGCCUUUCACAGACUGCACUCUGCUCGCAUUCAGAGAGCUUCCUUCUUUAUAUGUGUGGGCCAGCGCAUCUCAGUCUGCCUGGCGAGCCUCAACAGCUUUCUCGACCCCUUUGUUUAUUAUUUUUUGUGUGACAGUUUCAAAUGGGCAUAUUCCUGUCUUGGCGUGGACAAAGACAGCAAGACAACCAUAAGUAAAGAAACUGCUGAGAUAAAACUAUAAGCACCAGACAAACAUGUCCAGCGUCCUCAGUUCAAACGAUCAAGUCAUCUAUGCAUCCCUUUAUGUACUCACAUGCUUUUAGUUCAUGGUCGAGUCAGCAUUGGGCUCAAGGCACAGUCCAGUGAAAGGGCACCAGUCUAUCACAGGACAUCCACCAAACAUCUAUCCAUUCAUCUUCUGCAGCUGGUGAAGUGAAAAUAGACUUGUAAUUUUUAUAUUGAAAUUUUGCAGUUUAUGAUGAAAGUAGGUAAUAAAGAUAGAUAGAUAGAUAGAUAGAUAGAUAGAUAGAUAGAUAGAUAGAUAGAUAGAUAGAUAGAUAGAUAGAUAGAUAGAUACUUUAUUCAGUUUAUUUCUAAAAACAGUAACACCUAUAAGCAGAAAAUUCAGACCUUGUAUCCAACUAUCCAUUUUAUUAAGAAUGGCAAUGGCAGCAGGGCAGAAACCAAACAAGAAGGGCACACCAGUCCACCAGAGGACACACUCACAUAGACUGACACAGGGCCACUUUAGGGUCAUUCAUUUGCCUGCCUGGUACUAUGAUGUGGAAAGAACACCGAGACUAACUUACUAACUUAAGGUGAGCAUGCAAACUCAAUACAGACACUGACCAGGUGGGAUUGAAACCUGGUGUACCAGAGUAGUGAGGCAGCCAAAGUAACCACCCAGGCAUCAAACAAUUCAUUAAUCUUGAAUUUAUAUUUCAUAGAGCUCACCAUGACAAGAUGCAUAAAAAAAUCACACAAUCUGUGCCUUUUCAAAAAUGUUGUGACCAGGAGGGUUGCUCUUGAGUUGACCCUGAACCCAGAAUAACCGAGGAGAUGCAGGUCAGAUGAAACCAAAGGCUGAUCUGGACAAAAAAGUAAAGUAAAUACUGUACAAUGAUACGUCAACACAAGGAGUGGUAACAGUGCAACAACGCAAAAUAAUAAAGGACCAGAGCUAGAGUUAUGCACAGAAGGGUGGCUACAGUCUCUCAAGCCCCUGCUCCUUUCCCCUGAAUGGAUCAAAUGUCCUCUCCUCCUGUUACUACUUAACUGGUCAGUUCUGAACACAAGUGAGCACCUUCAUUUCACUGUAAGAAUAAAAGAAAAGGCAAAAAUAGGCCUAAAGAUAGCUAGGCUACUGUUUUCUGACCCACAAAGAAAUAUAUUCUGUGAUAAUUAUUGAUAUUAAUCACACACAAAAAUGUAAAAUAAAAGUUUAUGUACUGGUCAAGCUGGUUUGUAUGAUGUUAUAGUGCAGAAGGUAGCAUUAUAUUUCAGCCAUGCUUCCUCCCCUGGCUGGAGUUCAAAUACUGUUUUUAUUUCUUUUUUGUUCAUUUUUGAUUCUUUUGUUUAUGUUGACAUUGUUGAUCACUUUGUUUCUUUAUGUCUAUAUAUCUUUUUACAUGUACCAUUUGUUUUGUGGGUGGUCCCCCAAGAGGCAGGACCACCUGCCUUAUCACCACAAGCGACUGCUGAUGAAAACCCACAGUUCCUUGCGGUUCAUUGAAUGUGCUAGUACUACUGGCCAUUUAUUUCCAGUCAGAAGCAAGACCCUGCAAUUAAGUACUGAAGAGGUUUGAAGUUGUUUGAGUAAACAUGGCUGCUCUGCUCUCCAUUUGCACCAAAGAAGAACAGCAAGCAGUGAUCUACUUUUUAUGGGCUGAAGAUGUAUCAGGGACUGAAAUCCACAGAAGUUUUUUUUACACAAUAUGAAGACAGAGUUUUCCAUGGCAGAGAGUUUACAAAUGGAUGGAGUAGUUCAAAAAUGGUCGAGCAAGCUUUAAACACAAAGAACACGUGGGAUGCUUUUCUACAACUGCUUCUGACAGUAGCAUUGGACAAGUCUGUAUCAUGACUCUGACAAACCAACAAAGAUUUUGGUCCCUUUCAAAAAGAUCAAAAAUAAUUAGAUAAGGUGGAAGCCCUUGCAUAACUGUAACAGUUUUAUUUAUUUUUUCCCAGCUAUUGUUACAAGCUACAUAGAAUAAGUAACAUAAAAAACAACUUUUGGGUUGAGUAUGCCUUUAAACUCCAAGAUCUCCAGUUCAAUCCCACCUCUGACUCAGUAAGUGACCCUUAACAAGUUUAAUUUGCCUCUGCUCCAACUGCAAAAAUGUAUGUAUACAAUUGUGCUAUAUCCUGAACUAUUAAUUAUCUUUGGAUACAAAUGCCAGUUAAACAUUCUGUAAAUAAAUACUUGCAUACAGCCACACUUGCUCAUACCAGGCCAAAGUUAAGCAACUGAUCAAUGGAAAUGAGAAGAAUGCAAGAAUUAUAAAAAAAAGACCAUCAUGUACCACACGGAAAACAUGUGACCUUCACAUAGACAGUGUCCGGGCUAUCCACUGCAUCACCAUGCCACCCUUUUGUGGAAAAUUCUUAUUCUUGUUGAAUAUGCCACACAGUAAAUAUUUCCUCUUUUCAUGAGACUUUCACUUGUAGACUACAUUUAUAAAAAUCCUUUUUGUGCCAGCCAGAGGCAUUUAGCAGUUUGUAACAGUACUUAAG
Polypterus senegalus (gray bichir) is the source of this 3651-nucleotide RNA transcript. It is a transcript of the gene named lysophosphatidic acid receptor 4-like, with no coding region annotated. The record is from RefSeq and is a predicted model, not a curated record. NCBI's taxonomy places the organism in Eukaryota, Metazoa, Chordata, Cladistia, Polypteriformes, Polypteridae. The transcript is spliced from 3 exons.